GACGAACGCUGGCGGCGUGCUUAACACAUGCAAGUCGAACGGAAAGACCCUGCUUUUGUGGGGUGCUCGAGUGGCGAACGGGUGAGUAUCACGUGAGUAACCUGCCCUUGUCUUUGGGAUAACUUCAGGAAACAGGGGCUAAUACCCGGUAGGAGCUCCUGCUGCAUGGUGGGGGUUAGAAAGUUUCGGCUGUUGGGGCUGGACUGGCGGCUUAUCGGCUUGUUUGGGGGGUAGUGGAUUACAAAGGCUUUGACGGGUAGCCGGCCUGAGAGGGUGACCGGCCACAUUGGGACUGAGAUACGGCCCAGACGCCUACGGGAGGCAGCAGUGGGGAAUAUUGCACAAUGGGCGGAAGCCUGAUGCAGCAACGCCGCGUGCGGGAUGACGGCCUUCGGGUUGUAAACCGCUUUCGCCGGUGACGAAGCGUUAGUGACGGUAACGGGUAAAGAAGCACCGGCUAACUACGUG
Molecule: ribosomal RNA, 468 nt
Filed under: uncultured bacterium
Lineage: Bacteria
Description: partial 16S ribosomal RNA
Rfam family: Bacterial small subunit ribosomal RNA
Source: RNAcentral